UCUCUUGUAGUGUAACGGUUUAUCACAUGGGCCCUUGAAGCUUGAUAUGGCGGUUCGACUCCUCCCAAGAGAA
Tritrichomonas musculus is the source of this 73-nucleotide non-coding RNA. NCBI's taxonomy places the organism in Eukaryota, Parabasalia, Tritrichomonadida, Tritrichomonadidae. The record is from the annotation of a GenBank genome assembly.